RNAcentral lists this transfer RNA (72 nucleotides) under Marmota monax (woodchuck). It matches the Rfam family "tRNA". Rfam says of the family: Transfer RNA (tRNA) molecules are approximately 80 nucleotides in length. Their secondary structure includes four short double-helical elements and three loops (D, anti-codon, and T loops). Further hydrogen bonds mediate the characteristic L-shaped molecular structure. tRNAs have two regions of fundamental functional importance: the anti-codon, which is responsible for specific mRNA codon recognition, and the 3' end, to which the tRNAs corresponding amino acid is attached (by aminoacyl-tRNA synthetases). tRNAs cope with the degeneracy of the genetic code in two manners: having more than one tRNA (with a specific anti-codon) for a particular amino acid; and 'wobble' base-pairing, i.e. permitting non-standard base-pairing at the 3rd anti-codon position. The record is from Rfam by way of RNAcentral. Lineage: Eukaryota; Metazoa; Chordata; Mammalia; Rodentia; Sciuridae.
AGGGGCAUAUCUCAGUGGUAGAGCAUAUGCUUAGUAUGUAUAAGACCUUAGAUUCAAUUCCCAUGGCCUCUG